CUGGCGGCGUGCUUAACACAUGCAAGUCGAACGCGAAAGGGACUUCGGUCCUGAGUAAAGUGGCGCACGGGUGAGUAACGCGUAGAUAACCUGUCUUCAUGUCUGGAAUAAUACGCCAAAGGGGUACUAAUACCGGAUAUUCUUGCUUUUCAUAAGUUAUGCAAGCAAAGGUGGCCUCUGCAUAUGCUACUGCAUGAAGAGGGGUCUGCGUACCAUUAGCUAGUAGGUGGGGUAAUGGCCUACCUAGGCGACGAUGGUUAGCGGGUCUGAGAGGAUGAUCCGCCACACUGGCACUGGAACACGGGCCAGACUCCUACGGGAGGCAGCAGUGAGGAAUAUUGCGCAAUGGGGGAAACCCUGACGCAGCGACGCCGCGUGAGUGAGGAAAGGCCUUCGGGUCGUAAAGCUCUGUCAAGAGGAAAGAAGUGUACAAUGGCUAAUACCUGUUGUAUUUGACGGUACCUCUAAAGGAAGCACCGGCUAGCUCCGUGCCAGCAGCCGC
RNAcentral lists this ribosomal RNA (502 nucleotides) under uncultured bacterium. Its description in RNAcentral is "bacterial SSU rRNA". It matches the Rfam family "Bacterial small subunit ribosomal RNA", at positions 36 to 518 of the family's 1533-position model. The record is from RNAcentral.